This 253-nucleotide ribosomal RNA is filed under the name uncultured bacterium. RNAcentral's name for it is "partial 16S ribosomal RNA". It matches the Rfam family "Bacterial small subunit ribosomal RNA", at positions 524 to 776 of the family's 1533-position model. The record is from RNAcentral.
UACGAAGGGGGCUAGCGUUGCUCGGAAUCACUGGGCGUAAAGCGCACGUAGGCGGAUUGCUAAGUCAGGGGUGAAAUCCUGGAGCUCAACUCCAGAACUGCCUUUGAUACUGGCGACCUUGAGUCCGGGAGAGGUGAGUGGAACUGCGAGUGUAGAGGUGAAAUUCGUAGAUAUUCGCAAGAACACCCGUGGCUAAGGCGGCUCUCUAGUACGGUACUGACGCUGAGACGCGAAAGCGUGGGGAGCGAACAGG